Molecule: ribosomal RNA, 202 nt
Filed under: uncultured bacterium
Lineage: Bacteria
Description: partial 16S ribosomal RNA
Rfam family: Bacterial small subunit ribosomal RNA
Source: RNAcentral
CCGAUGGCGGGGGAUAACUACUGGAAACGGUAGCUAAUACCGCAUAACGUCGCAAGACCAAAGAGGGGGACCUUCGGGCCUCUUGCCAUCGGAUGUGCCCAGAUGGGAUUAGCUAGUAGGUGGGGUAACGGCUCACCUAGGCGACGAUCCCUAGCUGGUCUGAGAGGAUGACCAGCCACACUGAAACUGAGACACGGUCCAG